UGCACGGUGGCGCAGUUGGUAGCACACUGCAGCAAGAACGUCCUGGGUUCGAUUCCCGGCCGGAGGUCUUUCUGCAU
Non-coding RNA from Ataeniobius toweri, 77 nucleotides. The record is from the annotation of a GenBank genome assembly. Lineage: Eukaryota; Metazoa; Chordata; Actinopteri; Cyprinodontiformes; Goodeidae.